CCUACGGGUGGCAGCAGUAGGGAAUAUUGCUCAAUGGGGGAAACCCUGAAGCAGCAACGCCGCGUGGAGGAUGAAGGUUUUCGGAUUGUAAACUCCUUUUGUUAGAGAAGAUAAUGACGGUAUUUAUCAAAUAAGCACCGGCUAACUCCGUGCCAGCAGCCGCGGUAAUACGGAGGGUGCAAGCGUUACUCGGAAGCACUGGGCGGAAAGAGCGCGUAGGCGGGAUAGCAAGUCAGAUGUGAAAUCCUAUGGCUUAACCAUAGAACUGCAUUUGAAACUGGUAUUCUAGAGUAUGGUAGAGGUAGGUGGAAUUCUUGGUGUAGGGGUAAAAUCCGUAGAGAUCAAGAGGAAUACUCAUUGCGAAGGCGACCUGCUAGAACAUAACUGACGCUGAUGCGCGAAAGCGUGGGGAGCAAACAGGAUUAGAUACCCUAGUAGUC
RNAcentral lists this ribosomal RNA (440 nucleotides) under uncultured bacterium. Its description in RNAcentral is "partial 16S ribosomal RNA". It matches the Rfam family "Bacterial small subunit ribosomal RNA", at positions 338 to 795 of the family's 1533-position model. The record is from RNAcentral.